UUUUGUAGCAAUACGAGAGCGUCCUAGUGGCGAACGGGUGAGUAACGCGUUGGUGACCUGCCCCAAAGUGUGGGAUAACAGUCCGAAAGGAUUGCUAAUACCGCAUGUGGUCAUAAGGUUUAGAAACUUAUGACUAAAGCAGUAAUGCGCUUUGGGAGGGACCUGCGUCCCAUCAGCUAGUUGGCGAGGUAACGGCUCACCAAGGCGACGACGGGUAGGGGACCUGAGAGGGUGACCCCCCACAAUGGAACUGAAACACGGUCCAUACACCUACGGGUGGCAGCAGUAGGGAAUAUUGCUCAAUGGGCGAAAGCCUGAAGCAGCAACGCCGCGUGCGCGAUGAAGGUCUUCGGAUCGUAAAGCGCUUUUCUGCGAGAUGAGAAAGGACAGUAUCGUAGGAAUAAGUCUCGGCUAACUACGUGCCAGCAGCCGCGGUAACACGUAGGAGGCGAGCGUUAUCCGGAUUCACUGGGCGUAAAGCGCGUGCAGGCGGUUUGGUAAGUUGGGCGUGAAAGCUCCCGGCUCAACUGGGAGAGGUCGUUCAAUACUACCGAACUGGAGAGUAGAAGAGGAAGAUGGAAUUCCCGGUGUAGUGGUGAAAUGCGUAGAUAUCGGGAGGAACACCAGUGGCGAAGGCGAUCUUCUGGUCUAUUUCUGACGCUCAGACGCGACAGCUAGGGUAGUAAACGGGAUUAGAGACCCCGGUAAUCCUAGCCGUAAACG
RNAcentral lists this ribosomal RNA (723 nucleotides) under uncultured Caldanaerobacter sp. Its description in RNAcentral is "bacterial SSU rRNA". It matches the Rfam family "Bacterial small subunit ribosomal RNA", at positions 72 to 808 of the family's 1533-position model. Lineage: Bacteria; Bacillati; Bacillota; Clostridia; Thermoanaerobacterales; Thermoanaerobacteraceae. The record is from RNAcentral.